CCUAGGGCUAAACACUGUAGCGCCACUGAGGCAAAAUUGGUCUGGCAGAAACCCUGUAAUGCUUUCAGAACCCCUCACCAACACAUUUUGCUACACUUUGAGACACCAAAAAAUGAGCGGAGGUGUAUUUUGUUUUUUACAUGUUAUGUAUUUACAACUUGUUUGGAGUCUUGUUGUGGUAAAUUCGGUGGGCCAUAUUUUCCAGAAAUUCCAUCACUCUUAGCAGCUGUGAGGACCCUCAUUUCGGACAAGAUCACAGAGAGCUCAAGCAAUGGAGGUGAAAACGAAUAUGAGGCCAGUGUUGCUCUACCAUCACCUCCUCAACCCACAUCUCCCAAACCAACAUCAGUGCCACUAGGGAAUGAUGACUCCACCAGAGUGUCUGCCCAUUGUUGGGAGACUGCAAAAGCACAACCUACAGUGAAAGGAAUGGUCCGCACCCUCCUGCUGGGCCUGUUCAGCAUUGAUGUCCUACUGAAGUCCAACCUGACGGGAGGGGUCAACAAGGUCGAUCCAUCUGCAGAGAGACGCCAGCCUCUGGAACCCAAGAAGCUUACAGCUUUACUCAAUGCAGUUGUUCAGCAACACCCAGGGGCGAAGAUUCCAGACAUACGAACGGUCAUAAACAAAAGGAUCUGUGAGUUAAGACACCAGGAGAAGAAAAAGUCCAUGGACAACUGAAGGACUGGCCAAGGCUAGCCAAUCAGAGUGGGUCUUGAUAAGUUAGCAUGCGGGAUCCAUAACACUGCACUAAAGGAUUGUUGUCCUGUUUUUUCCACUUAGGGAUUGUUCUGUUUUUGUUGCACUGAAGACUGUUGUCCUUUAGGAAAUGUUUUAUUAAUUCUUAUAUAUAUUUUUUUAUAUAUUAAAAAAAAAGUAUUUUUGUUCAUUUAUAGUUGUUGUUGGAUCACAUAAAAAUAUAAUGUUUAAAAAAAAAAAACUAAUUAUGAUAUGGCAUAUAUGGCACAUCCCUACCAGCAAACCAGCUUGCCAUUUGCCGAGCACAUUAUGUGUACAUAAGCUUCAGAUGGAAUCAUGGUGAUAUGCCUUUCAUUCUGUCUGUUCUCAGGUCACUGUCCCUUCAGCUGCUGCUUUUGAAAUAAACCUCAUUCAGUUACUGUGAACUAUAUUGAU
This is a long non-coding RNA of Cyprinus carpio (common carp), 1134 nucleotides long. Lineage: Eukaryota; Metazoa; Chordata; Actinopteri; Cypriniformes; Cyprinidae. The record is from Ensembl.